Molecule: ribosomal RNA, 433 nt
Filed under: uncultured bacterium
Lineage: Bacteria
Description: partial 16S ribosomal RNA
Rfam family: Bacterial small subunit ribosomal RNA
Source: RNAcentral
AACGAACGCUGGCGGCAUGCCUAACACAUGCAAGUCGAACGAGACCUUCGGGUCUAGUGGCGCACGGGUGCGUAACGCGUGGGAACCUGCCCUUAUGUUCGGAAUAACUCCCCGUAAGGGGUGCUAAUACCGGAUAAUGUCUUCGGACCAAAGAUUGAUCGCCUUUGGAUGGGCCCGCGUUGGAUUAGCUAGUUGGUAGGGUAAAAGCCUACCAAGGCGACGAUCCAUAGCUGGUCUGAGAGGAUGAUCAGCCACACUGGGACUGAGACACGGCCCAGACUCUUACGGGAGGGAGCAGUGGGGAAUAUUGGAAAAUGGGCGAAAGAAUGAUCCAGCAAGGGCGCGUGAGUGAUGAAGGCCUUAGGGAUGUAAAGCUCGUUUACCCGGGAUGAUAAUGACAGUACCGGGAGAAUAAGCUCCGGCUAACUCCGUG